Molecule: ribosomal RNA, 416 nt
Filed under: uncultured bacterium
Lineage: Bacteria
Description: bacterial SSU rRNA
Rfam family: Bacterial small subunit ribosomal RNA
Source: RNAcentral
GCGCAGACUUACAGCCUUGACAUGGGGUGUGAGGGUCCGGAACGGGCCUUUGCCGUUGGGCAACCCCUGCACAGGUGCUGCAUGGCUGUCGUCAGCUCGUGUCGGGAGAUGUUGGGUUAAGUCCCGCAACGAGCGCAACCCUCGCCUUCAGUUGCCAUCGGGUAAGGGGGGGCUCUCUGGAAGAACCGCCCGUGAAAACCCGGAAAAAGGUGGGGAAAACCUCAAGUCCUCGUGGCCCUUAUGGGGUGGGCUACACACGUGCUAAAAUGGGGAUGAAAGAGGGAAUCCAGGCCGCGAGGCCAAGCCAAUCUCCAAAACUCCUCUCAGUUCAGAUUGCACUCUGCAACUCCAGUGCAUGAAGGUGGAAUCGCUAGUAAUCGCGGAUCCCGGGCAGCGGUGAAUACUUUCCCGGACCA